AGAUGUGGGUAGUCCGCGACGAGCGCACCUCACUUUUAGUUGCCAUCAUUAAGUUGGGCACUCUGUAAAGAACUGCCAGUGAUAAGCUGGAGGAAGGUGGGGAUGACGUCAAGUCCUCAUGGCCCUUACGUGUUGGGCUACACACGUGCUACAAUGGCAUCUACAACAGGAAGCAAAACGGCAACGUUAGCAAAUCCCGAAAAGAUGCCUCAGUUCGGAUUGCACUCUGCAACUCGAGUGCAUGAAGCUGGAAUUACUAGUAAUCGUGGAUCAGCGUGCCACGGUGAAUGCGUUCCCGGGUCUUGUACACACCGCCCGUCACACCAUGGGAGUUGGUUCUACCUUAAGGCAAGGUUUUAAACCCUUGACCACGGUAUAGUCAGCGACUGGGGUGAAGUCGUAACAAGGUAGCCGUAGGGGAACCUGCGGCUGGAUUACCUCCUUUCU
Molecule: ribosomal RNA, 447 nt
Filed under: uncultured Pelagibacterales bacterium
Lineage: Bacteria; Pseudomonadati; Pseudomonadota; Alphaproteobacteria; Candidatus Pelagibacterales
Description: bacterial SSU rRNA
Rfam family: Bacterial small subunit ribosomal RNA
Source: RNAcentral